UACGGGGGGGGCAAGCGUUGUUCGGAAUUACUGGGCGUAAAGGGCUCGUAGGCGGCCAACUAAGUCAGACGUGAAAUCCCCAGGCUCAACCUGGGAACUGCGUCUGAUACUGGAUGGCUUGAGUUUGGGAGAGGGACGCGGAAUUCCAGGUGUAGCGGUGAAAUGCGUAGAUAUCUGGAGGAACACCGGUGGCGAAGGCGGGUCUCUGGGCCGAUACUGACGCUGAGGAGCGAAAGCGUGGGGAGCGAACAGG
RNAcentral lists this ribosomal RNA (253 nucleotides) under uncultured bacterium. RNAcentral's name for it is "partial 16S ribosomal RNA". It matches the Rfam family "Bacterial small subunit ribosomal RNA", at positions 524 to 776 of the family's 1533-position model. The record is from RNAcentral.